GGGCGCCGCUGAAGAGGCUCAGGAUCGACUGCGUAUUCUGGAGGACGUCCAGAGCGACAAGGCCACCAUCAGCAGAGCCGUGGCCCAGAACCGAGACCUCAAAGACCAGCUGGCCGAGCUGCAGAACGGCUUCGUCAAGCUGACCAAUGAGAACAUGGAGCUGACCAGCGCUCUGCAGUCCGAGCAGCACAUCAAGAAGGAGAUCGCUCGUAAGAUCGGUCAGCUGCAGGAAGACCUGCACGGUGCCAAAGAACAGCUGCAGGAGAAGUGCGGAGAGCUGGCGUCCGUGCAGGAGCAGAGGGAUCAGUGUCUGGUUCACCUGCAGCAGUACACAGCUGGAUACAAGCAGCUGGUGGCCAGAGCGAGAC
This is a long non-coding RNA of Cyprinus carpio (common carp), 368 nucleotides long. RefSeq lists it as uncharacterized. Lineage: Eukaryota; Metazoa; Chordata; Actinopteri; Cypriniformes; Cyprinidae. The record is from RefSeq and is a predicted model, not a curated record. The transcript is spliced from 3 exons.